Humulus lupulus (European hop) is the source of this 1202-nucleotide long non-coding RNA. RefSeq lists it as uncharacterized. Lineage: Eukaryota; Viridiplantae; Streptophyta; Magnoliopsida; Rosales; Cannabaceae. The transcript is spliced from 2 exons. The record is from RefSeq and is a predicted model, not a curated record.
UCAAACAGCUUCAGCAUAUCUAAGUACACCAGUUACUACUCUCCUUUCUCUUUGUCUUUCAUUGUCUGAUCUCUCUCUUUGUAUUUUUCUCUAUACUACCCUUUCGUUUUCAACUGCUCUCGAGUCUUACCAGUACUAAUAUUACCCCACUACCAGAAACCAUGGAAGACAUCUGGAAUGACAUGAACCUUACCUCUCUCCCUGAGAGUACCAUUACAGUUAAUGCUCAGCCACUCAGAAUCUGCCCCCAACCCACCACUACUGCCGCCAACUACCCAAGCAUGAUGUUCCAAGACUAUCUAGGUACUCCUAAUUUUGGCAGUAGCCACCCUCCUCCUCCUCCUCCUACUCCGAUCACCAUGUUCUCCAAUCAUCAUGCUCCGGUACCUUCGCCGGACAGUACUCUUCUGUUUCUGGUCAACCCUCACCAGUACCACUGCAGCAAGUCCAACAACAACCAAGUCUCGAAUGUGUCAUCUUACACUACUAGCAGGCCUUUUCACUCCUCUUCUUCCUUGUUACCCUCUUAUGGCAAUAAAAGCUUCAUAGCAGCUGAUAAUGGCUGUGCCCCAGAUGACAAACAUUUGAGGCGCAUGAUCAAAAACCGAGAGUCUGCUUGUCGUUCAAGAGCUAGAAAGGAGGAAAGUAUUGUAUAUUUUCGUCUUUUUUUUGUUUUGUUUUUGUUUUCUUAUCAAAGAUAGCAUUAUUAUUAUUAUUAUUAUUGCUUUUUCUAACAAUGUAUGUUAUUAUUCUUUUGUAUUGGUUUGUACAGGCGUAUAGAACUAAUUUGGAGAAUGAAGUCGCUAAGUUGAGUGAAGAGAACAGAAAACUUAGAAAGAAGCAAAUUGAGAUUGACAAAGAGAUUGCUGCCGAACAAGAGCUACUUUCCAAAAAGCGAAUCCUUUACCGAACGUCAACUGCCCCAUUUUGAGAUAUAUCUAUAUCUAUAUAUAUGUAGGUGUAUAAAUAUAUCUCAAUGUCUGUCUGUAUUGAGUUGUUAUGACUUAUUACGUGGGUUUUUAAUGUUUAUAUUAUAUGCUUUUGUUGGGGGAAGGGAACGCAAGCUUUAUGUCGAUCGAAACAUGCAAGUUUGUGUUUUAAGGUUUACAAUAGUGACUGUCUAACUACUAAUGUUUCCCGUUAUGUUAUGUUCUGUGGUAACCAAAAAGAAAACAACAAAGUGUAUCUUUGGUAUUUCCUGA